GGCGUUCCCUUGUCCAGGUGUACAAGAUGCCUGUUUUUUGUGAAGGCAUGUUUAAGGUCAUGGGUUCGAGACCUGUGCAAAGCCU
RNAcentral lists this transfer RNA (85 nucleotides) under Amborella trichopoda. RNAcentral's name for it is "tRNA AMTR_s00017t00279230". Lineage: Eukaryota; Viridiplantae; Streptophyta; Magnoliopsida; Amborellales; Amborellaceae. The record is from RNAcentral.